UGCCAGCCGCCGCGGUAAUACGAAGGGACCCAGCGUAGUUCGGAAUUACUGGGCUUAAAGAGUUCGUAGGUGGUUGAAAAAGUUGGUGGUGAAAUCCCAGAGCUUAACUCUGGAACUGCCAUCAAAACUUUUCAGCUAGAGUUUGAUAGAGGAAAGCAGAAUUUCUAGUGUAGAGGUGAAAUUCGUGGAUAUUACACAGAAUACCAAUUGCGAAGGCAGCUUUCUGGAUCAUUACUGACACUGAGGAACGAAAGCAUGGGUAGCGAAGAGGAUUAGAUA
RNAcentral lists this ribosomal RNA (279 nucleotides) under uncultured bacterium. RNAcentral's name for it is "partial 16S ribosomal RNA". It matches the Rfam family "Bacterial small subunit ribosomal RNA", at positions 506 to 784 of the family's 1533-position model. The record is from RNAcentral.